CCCAAAAAUGAAUAAACGUUAAAAAAAAAUAGGCAAUGACUUAUGUGACAAGUGUCAGUAGAGCCUGAGUAGAACUGAGCCCGAGAUGAAAAGAGACACUUAAGAGCAAGAAAAGAGCCCACCCCCCCUCAAAAAAAAACAUGGGUGGGGGAGCACCAGCCCCUGCAGCUCGCUGGCCCUAACCCUGACAGCGCCUGUUACUUUAAGACGUUUGAAACUGCUAUGAGGAUAUCGUAUUUGUUGGGAACACGCUCUCUGAGAAAUCUUGCUCUGGACACUCGAAGACAGUUGAUCACGAUCUACGUAGAACUCGACGUUGUCAAAACGACAAGUUAAAACAUCGAAGGGAAGAAUCCUCAAGGCUGGAAAGUAUACAGUCGGCGGCUCCUUCUGGGGGACGAAAACGUGGUGUGACAUUUGUGCAACUAUUUUAAAAUGUAGUCAGGGAUUUCCGAACCCAACAUUUGGGAGCAAUGACUGAGUCUUGGAAAUGCUCUCUACAGUGAUAGGAACCUCUAGAGAUCUGAGGGAUGCUGGGGCCCAGGCCUCCCCGGAGAAGGGUGCUGUGCAGAACGAAGACGUGCCAUGGGCCUCUCCCAGUUAGGAGAGCAUUGGCAAUGGAGUGUUGGUCUGAAGGCAGGUGCCUAUAAUAUUAGGCAUGGUUGUCACUGAGGGAGACUCUAGCUAGAAAUCAAAUCUACUAGGGGGUGCGGUUCCGUAUGGCGGCAGGUGACAAGCAGAGGUACCGGUAAAUAUUUAACAACCAGCUCUUUGGAAAAAUAUACACGUGUGUUUGGUAAGUUAUACUGACAUAAAGGAUGUAUAGCACACAAUUUAUAAGUAAUACUAAUAUACACAAUCCUCCUCGUUGUAUAUUUCACAUAGUUGUUUGAUUCUCACAGAAAGUUUUCUUGUUCCUGCCAAAUUCUCGUAUCACAGUCCAGCUCUGGUUGUAACUCAGUCAUCAUUUGGUAAGUGGAGUUGCAGCCUAAACCACUGUUUCUCCGCUAAAUUUGUUGUCAGGAAUUCUGAGAGGUGAUCUACUGUUAAACUGUCUCUCCGCCUUGUAAAAUUGUAUUAAUUAAACUAAAAUCUCUCUCA
Lynx canadensis (Canada lynx) is the source of this 1101-nucleotide long non-coding RNA. RefSeq lists it as uncharacterized. The record is from RefSeq and is a predicted model, not a curated record. The transcript has 2 exons. Lineage: Eukaryota; Metazoa; Chordata; Mammalia; Carnivora; Felidae.